RNAcentral lists this long non-coding RNA (2124 nucleotides) under Coffea arabica (coffee). Its description in RNAcentral is "long non-coding RNA (CARA_LNC002802)". Lineage: Eukaryota; Viridiplantae; Streptophyta; Magnoliopsida; Gentianales; Rubiaceae. The record is from RNAcentral.
UUUUCUCCGAAACGGGUUCGAUAUUUUUACUUAAAGAGUUUGUUCUUUCCUCCCCUGCCUAAACUUCUCUAGCCUUUUUUUCCUUUUUGUUCUCCGAUUUAGUUGUCUUAACAUUGUGGCUUGUUGUGGUUUUUUUUUCUUUGUAGGAUAAUAGGGUUGCUCUAGAUCUUCUCUCUCUACUUGAUCAUCUUUAGCUCCAGAAGCAAGGAAAUUUGCAGAAUCUAUCUCCAAACUAUCAGGUUCUUUGUUGCCUCUUAAUCUUUAUUUCCUUUCUAUAUUUAUUGGUUUUAUUCCCCAAAAAUUUUCACCUGGUUAAUAUCUAAAUUUUGCCUAUAUUUUUCCUUAUUUAUUUAUCCAUGCUUUCUCCCAAGAUAGAUGCAGCCAAGAGAAGAUCAUCACCGAGAAACAUUGCUUGCAAUUUUGCUUCCUUGGGGUUCGUCCUUCUUCAUCUUAGGUUUUCUCUAUUUUAUUUUUUCAUUUUUUUAACUUUUGUACUCUUUUUUAAGUAUUUUCUAUGUUACUUAUUUCUUUCUUUUGGGUCUCUAGAGCCCCCUAUACAAACUUGUAUGAUAUUUAUUAUAGAUGGAAAAAUUACUUGGUAGAGAAACUGAAGGACAAUGUUGUCGAGAACCUUUGAAAAAUGGAGUUUUCGUGGCUCAUCUGAUGGCUUUUUUUUUUUUUGGUUUGUUAUGUGCAAGGGUGCGUUCAAUUAUUGACUCACAAAAGACAAUCCAUAUGGUAACCAACCCAAAGUCUCCAUUUGUGGAGAUCAAAUUUCAUGUCAAUGAUUGUUGAAAACUUUAGUUAUUUUUUCGUGUCUUUAUUUUUGAUAAAACUAUUUUUCUUUUUUUUUCCUUUGUGAAGUUUUGGUUCUCAUUUCCGGAGAGUGUAUAUGGAUUCUUUAAAACAAAAGAAAAAAAAUACUCUUGUGUUUUCUUAGUUGCUGAUAAAAGCACUAAAACUGAUCAAUGAGCCAUUAGUUGAGAUACUCGUUUUAAGUACAUGUUCCCUAUAUAUUUGUAUAUGCAUGAAUCUUGCCGGCCUUUCUUCUUUUAAAUGAGUACCUUUUAUUUUAGGUUUACAAGAAUACCUUUUUUGGUUAAAUUUUUGUUUAUUUUUUUCCUAGAAGAUUGGUUUGAAUUCAUCUACUAGGGAUAACAUUUUGAGAAUAUAAAGUGAAUAUAGAGUAAAUAUGGCAGAUUGAGUAUUAGCCUGUUAUUGUAGAGAAAUUUCUUACCAUCUACUGCCAUUUAAGUGGUUUACUACAUGUUUCUUGCUUAUUUAGACUUUACCUUUCGUGAAAAUGAUUUCAAUGUUUAUGGGCAAUUAAAAGUUUGGUGUGGUAAUAUGUUGGUCUUUCCAAUUUCUUUAUAUUUCUUGAAAAGGUAAAGAGAAUUUUUUGUAGCUAAAAUAACAAAAAAGAUGUUAGGAUUACUUUGCAUUUAGAUCCUUUUUCUUAAGUCAUCUUCUUUUUAUUUUACUUUUGGUUAUGUUAUUAAUUUUUUUUAUUCUUUUAUGUUAUUAAUUUACUUUGUUCAUGUUAAAGGUGCAAAUGAUUGAAGAUGCAGUCACUCUGAAACCAGUUCAUGGAAUAACAAACUUUGUAAGUUAAAAAUGUAGUCCUUUUUUUUUAUCUUGCUUUUGUGUUGAGCAUGGUCACUAUUAGAUGGUUUAUUCUUAAUUUCAUCCUUUCAGUCCUUCACUAUUUGCACACCAUUAAUUCACUAUAUUGGAAUCAUAAAUACUACUUUGUUUAGUAUAAAAGGUUUUUUCGGUCUCUUAUUUUAUUUAAUUAUCUUUUAUUACAACAAGAAACGUGAAGAAUUAUUCAAAUUUUACUGAGGAAAAAAUUGUUUAAGUGGGCAAUUUUUUGUAGGCUUUACUCGUCAUAUAUAUACUAAUCUGCUCUAUGAUUUUCUGCUCAGAUUUUUGUCAAGCGAGGGAAGAAAGAAAAAAUGGUGGUCAAUUCUUACUUUUAAGCAUUAUGGAGUUAUACAACUACGCGAAACUUAAAUACUUACUAAAUUUGUUGUUGACCAUUAUGCUGUUAUUGUAAGAAAACUUUUAAGAAUGAUUGCCAUUCAGGAGGUUUACUCUAUAUUUCUUGCUCAUUUAGACUGUCUG